UCAACCUAGAGAUGUGAGCCUGCUGGUUGGCAUUUGUGUACCACAACAGACCUGCACUGGAGAGAUAAUGAGACAGAUGGGGCUCCUGGAAUCUGGCAGAACACAUCACAGAUGUGGCUGCCUUCUCUGCCCACACUGCUGGCCCAGCUACACCCAGGUGGCUGACGUUGUCCCUUCCUGCCCAGCACCAGCAGCCUUUGCUGCAGCCUGGCGGCCCUCUCUGGAAGGUCCCUCGGUUCAGCUUUCAAGUCCCCUGAAGGUGACACACCUAUUAGCACACCCUGAAGAAGACAGCUCCUCCCAUCAGACACGGGAAAUGCAGACACCCUGGUACAAGAAACUUGAACGGGAUGAAAAAGCAAGAAAGCAUGAUAUGCAAAAGUGGAGACUGGUCCAGGAAGCUCAUUAAAACCGGUUGGGGUCUUGUGCCCUCCAUCCCCAUGAAGGAAAUGUGGAUGUGGAGGUUGGGAAGAUGAAAGGCUGGUGAGAACAGCAACCCAUGAGUUAGGAGGAGACCCAAGAGAGAAUGCUGUCCUGGAGCCAAGCAAGAAACCCGUUGCUACACCGAUCGUGACAGACCUCAAGGCUUAGAGGCAUCAAAGUGGAGACCAUGGAGAGAGAUCCACAUUUGGAGUGGGGAGUUUCAUUCUGUGCUGACUCAAAGCCAAUGGGAUGCUACAGGAUGGAAUAUUCCCACACCCCAGUCAUUUAGACUUUAACUCCUGAAGUAGAAGAAG
Molecule: long non-coding RNA, 737 nt
Organism: Lontra canadensis (Northern American river otter)
Lineage: Eukaryota; Metazoa; Chordata; Mammalia; Carnivora; Mustelidae
Exons: 4
Source: RefSeq, a predicted model, not a curated record